AUGGCGGGUUGCCUUGGUAACAGCAGGCUGCGUCAGCAAUGGGAGAGUACCUCAGUAGGGGCAGAACGUCUUGGUAAUGGCAGACGCCCCCUCCCCCAUCGAGCUGCACCAUACUGGAUUCCGUUGUGCCCACCAAAAAACUCUCAACCCCGAGCAUUUCAAAUCGCCUUUUUGUCUGUCCCUGUGGAGGUGGGACUCGUCAAGCCUGAUCACCCACGGAGUACAUGCCUGGUCCCAGUAAAUCCCAGACCAAAGGUUUAGUAAUCUUUCAUUCCAUCAACUGACUGCUUUUUUGGAUGGUGGGCAUUCUCUGGUGCAUUUGUACAAAAGACUUUACCAUGGAAACCCAUGCUUGACCUUUCAAUAUCAUCAUGACAUUUUUCAUCUUGGCAUAAUAUGGCUGCUGUAUUCUCAUCCUUCAAUAAAAAAGUCUGUCAUUUCCACUACAAAGUCAAAGAGAGAACACUUGAAGUUUCAAUUACUUUGUUAAAGUUCACUUAUCAAGUACUCUGAAAAUGUCAACUAUUGUUCUGCUCUUUUGGCACUUAAAUGUACAACUUCUUAUCUGAACCUAAAAAAACAAGACAGAAUUCUAAAUUUCUAUGCACAAGAUAAUGUAAAAACCACAUUGAAUGCAGCUGAAAUGGUACUUCAAGGUAAAUUUUUAGCGUCCUAAAAUUAAACACUUAAUAACCUUAAGAAAUCAGGAAAAGACUUACAGAAUAAAUCCAAAGACAAUAAAAGACUGGAAAUUCUAGAAUUAAGAGCAAAAACUAAGGAAAUAAGUAAAACAACUAUAGAGAAUCACUAUAACUGAACUCAGCAAGAGUGACUGAGCUAAAAAAAAAAAAAGGCACAAAAAAAAACCACUAUGAACAAUGAUAAAAGCCCACUUCAAACAGAGAUUUUAAUAAGAACAUGGAUUGGUAUGCUAACUUCUGCUUCAAGCCAAACCAGAGUCACAGGGACCAGGGCAAAAACAUGAAACAACAGUUUUCGGAUGUUAGACUGGACCAUGAUCUGUGAAACAGAAGCAGCAAAUUAGCCAACUCUAUGACUGCUCCAGUUCUUACUGCUUAGAGUUUCAAGACUGCAGGGCAAGGAAGGGAAAUCCAGCUAUAGCCAGGAAGUAUCUGAGUUGGGGAGAAAGAGUUGGGAGCCAGGGAGGACAAAAAUAGAGUUCACAAGGUAGAGUACCAAAUGUGACAAAACUACACAGAUUGCUCCAGAUUAUCUGCAGAGGAUUCCCCUGGAGUCUUCAGCUGAAUUCUGUGACCACAUGGGACUACUACCCAAGGCCUUCUAAAGAAUCACCUGAAAGAACAAGGGGAAACCAUUUUUGGAGCUCACAAUGGUCAGAAAUACUUGAAGUUCCACCAGCCAAACUGAAAAAUCCCCUAUAAUUCAUAGGGUGUCAGAGUACUUGGAAUGGUACUGACUCAGCAGUAAAAUAAAUGUUGUUCUGUAUCUGCUUUAAACUUCAAAAGCAAGCCUAUAAAGGAUCACAUUUUUUCCCCUAGUAAUUUGUGUUAAGAAAAAGAAAUAUGGGAAAUUCAAUAUCCAAACAUGCAAAUGCAUGCAAAUGAAAAAUACAAAUAAUAAAAAAAAUCAAUAAACAGAAACAGACUAAGAAAUGACAGCAAGGCCAUUCUAACAGCUGUUAUCAUUACACUUGCUGUGUGCAAACCAGCAGAGGAAAACUUGAGUAUGAUUUUUAAAAAAAUGGAAGAUAUAAGAGAUCCAAAUUGAAUUUUUAACGAUAAAAUACAUAACUUCUGAUAUAAAAAAUACACUAUCAGAAUUAAGAAAUUAGACACAACAGAAGAUUAGUGAACUUGAAGUUGAAGCAAUGAAAACUAUAUAAAAUGAAAAAUAACCAAAAAUGAGCAACGGAUUAAUAAACUGUGUGAUUAUUUCAAGCAGCCUAAUAUAAGUGGAAUUGGCAUUGAAAAAAUGUUCAAAUAAUUGCUAUGUUUCCAAAUUUGAUGAAAACUAUAAAUCCAUGGAUCCUAGGGUGCUCAGCUAAGUCCAAGAACAAGGACUGGUUUCUUUGGGGUGUAAAAUAUGCAUUUAAAACUUUGUGUUACUCUCAUGUAAUUUAAAAAACAUACUGUAGCACUGCACUCCCUGCUGAGCACUUGAAAUAUGACUGGUGCAACUGAGAAGGUGAGCUUUUGCUUAUGGUGAUGGUAGCACAUCUCUAUGAAUUUAUUAGAAAAUCAUAUUUUUAUUGCCCAAAGAAGAAACUUUGUACCCAGUCACCUACCAUUUCCAAUUCUCCCCAGUCCUAGAUAUUAAUUUAUUUCUGUUUCUAUAGAUUUGCCUAUUCUGAACAUUUCACAUAUGGAAUCUGGCUUCUUUUACUUAGCCUAAUGUUUUCAGUAUUCACCCAUGUUGUACCACAUAACAGUAUUUCAUUUUAUUACUGAGUAAUAUCCCAUAUUAUGAAUAUAAACUUUUAUUUAUCCAUUGGCCAAUUAACAUUUGUUUGUGCAUUUUGACUAUCAUGAAUUGAUCCCUUUAUUAAAUGACUCUCUUUAUCUCCAGCAAUAAAUAUUCCUUGCUCUGAAAUGUACUUUGAUAUUAAUAUGGCCACUCCAACUUACUUUUGAUUUGUGAUAGCAUGGUAUAUCUUAUUUCCGUCCUUUUACUUUUCACCAAUUUGCUUCUUGAAAACAUUUUCUUAGAGGCAAAAUAUGGCCUUAGUUUUUUUAUUAAAACUGAGGUUUUAUUAACCUCAGCACUUAAUGGCAUGCUUAAAUUACUAGUAAUUACUGUGAUUAUUGAUAUCACUGAGUUUGAUCUAUCUUGCUAUUUGUUCAACCAUUUGUUUUUUCUCUUUUUUUGUCUAGUUUUGGAUUAGCUAUUUUUCAUAAUUCUUUUUUUUUUUUUUUUUAAUUUUUUAUUGGAUUAUAGGUUUUGGGGUACAUGAGCAGAGCAUGCAAGACAGUUGCGUAGGUACACACAUGGCAGUGUGCUUUGCUUUUCUUCUCCCCUUCACCCACAUUUGGCAUUUCUCCCCAGGCUAUCCCUCC
Molecule: long non-coding RNA, 3035 nt
Organism: Callithrix jacchus (white-tufted-ear marmoset)
Lineage: Eukaryota; Metazoa; Chordata; Mammalia; Primates; Cebidae
Source: Ensembl